Molecule: ribosomal RNA, 465 nt
Filed under: uncultured bacterium
Lineage: Bacteria
Description: partial 16S ribosomal RNA
Rfam family: Bacterial small subunit ribosomal RNA
Source: RNAcentral
GACGAACGCUGGCGGCGUGCUUAACACAUGCAAGUCGAACGGAAAGGCCCCUUUGGGGGUACUCGAGUGGCGGACGGGUGAGUAACACGUGAGUAACCUGCCCUUGACUUCGGGAUAACUUCAGGAAACUGGGGCUAAUACCGGAUAGGAAUCCUUGCUGCAGGGUGGGGGUUGGAAAGCUUCGGCGGUUUUGGAUGGACUCGCGGCUUAUCAGCUUGUUGGUGGGGUAGUGGCUUACCAAGGCUUUGACGGGUAGCCGGCCUGGGGGGGCGACCGGCCACAUUGGGACUGGGAUACGGCCCAGACCCCUACGGGGGGGAACAGGGGGGGAUAUUGGACAAUGGGCCGGAGGCUGAUGCAGCAACGCCGCGGGCGGGAUGACGGGCUUCGGGUUGGAAAACGCCUUCAGCAGGGGCGAAGCUGGGGGUGACGGUACCUGCAGAAGAAGCACCGGCUAACUACGUG